This 272-nucleotide long non-coding RNA is filed under the name Nicotiana benthamiana. RNAcentral describes it as "long non-coding RNA (NBEN_LNC032427)". The record is from RNAcentral. Lineage: Eukaryota; Viridiplantae; Streptophyta; Magnoliopsida; Solanales; Solanaceae.
AAGGCCUGGAUGGCUCAUCGGAGCUUGGUAAGGACCCAAGGCUUCAAAGGCUUGCUGGAGAGAAGCCUGACAUGGCUGUCAAACCCCAUUAAAGGACCUCUGGUCCAGUUACCCUCGAAACAGAGUCUCAAUCUUCGAACCCCAAGGCCGAGGAUGGUGAUAAAUGACGGAUAGAGGUAUUCGAUGGCUUGAGCAGCCAUGAAUGCCGGCGAAAUAGAGCUGGAGAUGAUUAGGGUUUGAAAGGGGGCUAGAGAGUGUUUAGGGAUUCAAAG